Molecule: non-coding RNA, 153 nt
Organism: Peromyscus maniculatus bairdii (prairie deer mouse)
Lineage: Eukaryota; Metazoa; Chordata; Mammalia; Rodentia; Cricetidae
Source: RefSeq, a predicted model, not a curated record
CACUUGUUUAACGGUGUGAAGCUGUGUUACUUUGCCUGCCUAAAACACCUGAUUGGUCUAAUAAAGAUCUGAAUGGCCAAUAGCCAUGCAGGAGAGGGAUGGGGGGCCUGCCAGGCAGAAAGAUUAAAUAGAAGAGAAGAAGAAGAGGAGGAG